This 460-nucleotide ribosomal RNA is filed under the name uncultured bacterium. Its description in RNAcentral is "partial 16S ribosomal RNA". It matches the Rfam family "Bacterial small subunit ribosomal RNA", at positions 338 to 795 of the family's 1533-position model. The record is from RNAcentral.
CCUACGGGAGGCAGCAGUGAGGAAUAUUGGUCAAUGGACCAGAGUCUGAACCAGCCACGUAGCGUGAAGGAUGACUGCCCUAUGGGUUGUAAACUUCUUUUAUAAAGGAAUAAAACGAGGCACGUGUGCCUUUUUGCAUGUACUUUAUGAAUAAGGAUCGGCUAACUCCGUGCCAGCCGCCGCGGUAAUACGGAGGAUCCGAGCGUUAUCCGGAUUUAUUGGGUUUAAAGGGAGCGUAGAUGGGUUGUUAAGUCAGUUGUGAAAGUUUGCGGCUCAACCGUAAAAGUGCAAUUGAUACUGGCAGUCUUGAGUACAGUUGAGGUAGGCGGAAUUCGUGGUGUAGCGGUGAAAUGCUUAGAUAUCACGAAGAACCCCGAUUGCGAAGGCAGCUUACUAAACUAUGACUGACAUUGAUGCUCGAAAGUGUGGGUAUCAAACAGGAUUAGAUACCCCUGUAGUC